RNAcentral lists this non-coding RNA (45 nucleotides) under Schistosoma mansoni. Lineage: Eukaryota; Metazoa; Platyhelminthes; Trematoda; Strigeidida; Schistosomatidae. The record is from RNAcentral.
AUCCAGCUGAAGAUUUCCAAAUGGAACGAAACAUAUGUCCUGAAU